AAUUAAACUUUGAACUAUGUAUCGCCUUUCUGGAGAAGUUUUUCAGGUUCAGUGAAAAUAUAAUUUGCAUAGAGAACUGAGAUGGUCACAUUGGAUCAAAAGAAAAAGAAAUUUGAUGUGUGUUACAGAGAAAAAGAGAUUCCAGGUAGGGUGAUUGAGCGGUGGGGAGAGAGGGAAGCAAAGAUCGGAUCGGUCAAUGGUGCUCGAGUUUUGAGGAGUUACCAACGGUGGGUUAUGUUCACCGGUGUCAAAAACCACCAACCAUUGUAUUCUAAUACCACACAAGUCAACUGAGUAGAGGUUAUGGAGUUAGUUUUCCUUCGUUCUUUUGCUGAUAAGGGAGGUAUUAGGAUGAGACCGGAUGCAAGAUUAUUAGAGAAACCUCGAGUUUUGAGGAGUUACCAACGGUGCGUAUGUAUGUGUAAUUUUCAGGCUUCAGAUUGAAAUUUGAAACUGGUUUCAUAUACAAUCACAAAUAUAAAAAAACGAAGAAACUAGUGUCUGUGUGUGAAAUAUGUCUGUGGGUUUUGAAGAGAAAGGGAGGGGUUAACGAUAACAUACAUCGAAGGAUGGGAUACGCCGAAGAUGUUCUAGCCUUUUGGGUUUGAUCGCCUGCGAGUAUGUGUUUGUGUGAGAGAGAGAGAGAGAGAGAGAUAAGAUAGAGAGGAGAGUUUUACUUAUUUUCUUUUUAUUAUUAUUAAUAUUUUUGUUAUUGAAAUGUUAAUAAAAUGUAAAAAAAUAUAAAAGUAAAUAAAUAAGGGUAUAACCGUCUUUUCAA
Long non-coding RNA from Lactuca sativa (garden lettuce), 778 nucleotides. RefSeq lists it as uncharacterized. NCBI's taxonomy places the organism in Eukaryota, Viridiplantae, Streptophyta, Magnoliopsida, Asterales, Asteraceae. The record is from RefSeq and is a predicted model, not a curated record.